Molecule: long non-coding RNA, 2085 nt
Filed under: Homo sapiens (human)
Lineage: Eukaryota; Metazoa; Chordata; Mammalia; Primates; Hominidae
Description: non-protein coding lnc-FOXO6-2:13
Source: RNAcentral
GUACCCCGCCGGCCUGCCGACCCGGGUCCGGGGGCCCAGUUGGCGCCCGGACCAGCUCUCCGGUCUGCGUCCUGUAGAUGGGAAAACUGAGGCCUGAGAGGGCGCGAGGGCGGGGACGAGGCCGAGGACUCGGGUUCGAAUCUCGAGGACGCCAGUAGCCCGCUCUGAGGCCGCGUGGGGCUGGUGGAGGAGCCACCGGUCGGGCCCCCAAGACCGGCUGACGUGGGCCUCGCCUCGGGCGACUCCCGCCGGGCUAGUGGCUGGCCGUGUGGUGACCUUGGGCGAGUUACUUCGCACAGCCACCCAGGGGCCUCUUCUCCAACACGAUAGCACUGCACCCGGAGGGUAGGUGAGAGAUGAGUUGGUGCUUGGAUGCCCUAGGGAGUGUCAGCGUCCUCGGUCCUCCCUGUGGUGAUCCCUUCAACGAGUACGCACUGAGCCCGUGAUGGGCCAGGUACAAUGCACAGGCUCAUUCUUCCAGGCCCACCAGCCAUGUUGGCUACACAAUUCUAUUUUUGUUUUGUUAGAGAUGGAGCCUCACUUUGUCCCCAAGGUCGGAGUGCAGUGGCGCCAUCAUAGCUCACUGUAACCUCAAAUUACUGGGCUCAAGUGAUCCUCCUGCGUCAGCCUCCCAAAGCGCUGGGACUACAGGCGUGAGCCACUGCGCCUGGCACACAAUUGGUUUAACCACCACAUCAUUUUAGCAGCUUAGGAAACUGACGUCUUGACUUCUGUUUUGGCUGCUUGAAAAUACAGUGCAAUAUAAAUCCCGAGACCUCUGCUGAGCUGGAUGUGGAGUGGGUGUGGGCAUCAUUUAGAACAUGGCAAUCCUCAGGUCACACAGGAAUGUCUUGUUAAUGAUCCUUCUGUGAACAAUGUUCCUUGGAGGGAAGUCCACUUAAGCAAGGCUGGAGCAGCAGAUGGGGCAGCUGAGCCUGGAUUACUUGCCUUGCCUCUAGAAUAGGUCUUAGAGCUUUGGACUGAAGGGGGGCCGCCUCCUUGUAUCCUGGUAUUGGUGUCAGUAUCCGUCUGCCCAUUCUUGAGAAAUGGAAAUGGUCAGAAUCUAUCCAGGUUCUGAUCUGCAUCCCUGUUGUCUAAUUUAAACUUUCAUUCCAUGGCGUUUUGGGGAGUACCUGUCUCAUGAAGAGCCCUGAGGUUACAAGGAUAAUUAGAGCCUAAAUCUAAGGAGCCCAUAUUUGGGGAAACUAUUAUGUCAAUAGCUAAUGAGAGCACAGUGUUGUAAGUGCUCAUAUUAGUUUUCUAUUCCUGCAUAACAAAUUGGCACAAAUUUUGCAGCUUAAAGCAACACCCAUUGAUUUACUCACAGUUGUGUAGGUCGGAAAACUGGCAUGGUGUGGCUGGGUUUUCUGCUCGUGGUGUCAUAGGCUGAAAUCAAGAUGUCUAGCACCUCCACGAGGGAAAGGUCUGCCCCAGGCUCCUUCGGGCUGUUGGCAGAAUUCAUGUCCCUGUAGGACUAGGAUCCCACAGCUACACUGUUUUGCCAGCUCUCUGUUGGGGACCACUCUCAGGUCCUUGCCACGUGAUCCCUUUUAUCUCAUCAACAGAGAACCUUUCUCAUGUCACUCCCUCUCAUUCUUUAAAUAUCUCUGAUUUCCCUUCUUCAACCAGUCAGAGAACACUAUGAGCUUUUAAAAGACUUGUAAUUAGGUCAGACCCACCUAGAUAAUCUUCCUACUUUAAGAUCACCUGUGCCACAUCACAUACCCUAAUCACAGGAGUAAAAUUCAUCAUAGCCACUGUCCCAGGGACUAUGCAGAAGGUGUACAUGAAGGUUAAUCUAGGAAGCUACCUUAGAAUUCUGCCUACUACGUCCAGUGAGAAAUGUUCUCUUGAACAUUUUCUCUAUGAAUUCCCCUAGCAGUUUGUUCUGUAACUCUGUCCAUGGCACCAUAUAUGUUGCCAUUAUUGGAGUAUAUUUCUAAACCUCUUUUCUAGGCUGAAAGCGUCUUGAGAUCAGGAACCUUAUUCACACCUGUAGCCUUAGAUAAGGCUUGGCAUGAGGGAGAUAUUCCCACAUCUGCUAAAAAUAAAUAAAUAUUAUGCAUAUUGUCCUUUGGAUUCCUG